GCGACUUUAGCUCAGUUGGGAGAGCGUCAGACUGAAGGUUGAUAACUUCAGUCCUACUGAAAUCUGAAGGUCUUGUGUUCGAUCCACAAAAGUCGCA
Molecule: non-coding RNA, 97 nt
Organism: Kalaharituber pfeilii
Lineage: Eukaryota; Fungi; Ascomycota; Pezizomycetes; Pezizales; Pezizaceae
Source: the annotation of a GenBank genome assembly